CAGUGGGUCAGUUGCAGCAGGUUACCUGUGCACAAUUCUGCCGUUUGCAAGACUGUUGGAAAUCCUAUAAACUGACUACGCCACGGAUGAAACUCGAAAUGCUUUUUCAGGCAUGGAUCCUACAACAGUUGCAGUAUUGAAAGCUGCUAAUAUUAGCACAGAAUUGCUUCCCAGUCUGUCUAAGGUGGACUUGCGUGACCUCUUUCCGGGGCCUGAGCACUUUUUCCGAAGGAAAGCCAUUUGGAGGACCACUCAUGGUGAAAAUGAGAUGAUAUCCGAUUUUAACGUUGUGUGGACAUUAAACUAUGCUUUUAUGCCGUAAUUUCAUUACGAUCAAUGUGAUUUUUACGUUCCAUGUUUUUGUCAGGAAUCUGUGAAGAAGCAGCUUUUGAGAAGGGUCCAAAAUGUGACAACCCCCAAAAAGAAGCAGGGAGCAACUCCUUCAAGAAAGAGGCGACUGGCCAUCAGCUUUGAGAGCAGCAGCCAUGGGUCACCCACUGAUGACAGCAGGUCCAAUGCUUCAACUUUGAGCUUGGAAACAUCACCGCAGUCUGGAGGCACUUCCCCGGAGGCUGAACAGGUGGAUGGGCCUGAAACUACUGACAGCCCACAGAACCAGGCCAGACACUACAAAGUUCUGCAGGAGCUAUACAAAUCCAAGCCCAGGCCCAACAAGAAGGAUGUUGCCCAGCUGUUGGACCUGGAAUACCAAGCAAGACGGGCUUACAUCGACUCUGAUGUUCUGAAGGAGCACGACAGACCUACCAAGAUUCUUCAAGCAUAUCCCUGCUUCAGAGAAGUGGAUCAUAUAAUGGAUGAACUGCAGCGGAUCCUCAAUCAAGGAAACCCCCACUUCAUAGCUGAACUGAAGAACCGCUGGAAGACCUUUUGUGAGAAGAUCCAGUUUUAUGGCGUUUUCAAAAAAGUCAUGAGACCUCCACUGGCUGAUAAAGUAAAGCGAGGGGUUGCGAUGAUGAAAGCUUUGCCAGACGUCUUCCCAUCACCCAUUGCUCCACCCAAGAAGUUGGGGCAUGCAAGUGAGGGCAUUCUUCACAUCUUGAGUCUGUGGAAGACCCCAACGCUUUCCUGAACGCAAGACCGCUCUCCAGCCCUGUAGUGAUCGUCUGUGAGAGCAACUGCAUUCUGGCCAUCGGAACCAUGCCUGUGCUGAUCUUCCCAAAGGAGGACAUCUCAGUGUGAUGUACAUCAUGGCAUGCUGCUACACCUUUCACCUCACAUACCCCAAGUGCAUAACCACACUCCUCUCUGUGCUGCAGACAGAGGUCCUCAUGGAUGCCAUCCAUGACCAAGACAUGACUUCUUCAUAUAAAAAAGCUAUGGCUGAGUGGAGGAAGUUCAGAGGACUUUUUGCAGUGUAGGAGAAGUAAAGAAGGGGAAGUUCAUACGUCAGGUGGCAGAUGAAGAUGGACAGAAUGACUUUUCAGCCCAUCAGGUCAUCCAUGAACAAAUGGAGACAGAUCUUACAUUAUAUGAGAUGGAACAUUUUAAAUUUUACUUCAACAUAAUUGAUGGCACAAUUUACCCCCAACAUGUUUUCUGCAAAGGCUCAACUAAGUCCAGGUUUGUUCCCUUUGGAAAGCCAUAUUCCUCAUAUACAAUGACUACACCAGUGUUUCAGCAUUUUACAUGAACCCAAAUUUAUCCACUGUGUGCUUUCUUUACAGUAAAUAUGACAGCUAAAAGUUUAAAAAAUAACAACAUUACAUAUAUGCUGCUUUGUUUACAUUUGAACGAGGUAGUGCUGCAUUUAAAUCAGGGUGCAGACAGUUCUGCACAGUGUCUUCCAGAUUUCAACAAGACAACAGGACGACUUGAAACGAGCAGGACAUCGAGAUUAAUCUCAACUUUAACCUUUCAAGAAAACCCAAAGAAGCCAACAUUUUUGAGUCUUUUUUGACAAGAUAAAAAUGAACAAUCAAAGUUCAUCCUCAUCCUCAUCUUCCUCUGAGGAGAGUACUACAAGGCAUCCUUUCGAAGUCCCAGAAGACUACAAGUUGAUGCAAAACCUGGAACAUGGAAGCUGUGGAUUUGUGCCGGAACGUAUGACAAACAACACUGAAGAGCACGAGGCCAUAAAGGUGUCCGAACGGAACUGUCAAGACCAUGAGGUGAAAAUCCUGAAAAAACCCAUGAGCCACAACUCAAAGGAGAAGGACAGAACCCCCCCCAGUGAUAUCCUCGACCAUCCCUCUAUCACUAGAAGCGACCUCAGCAGCAACUCCCCCACCAGCAGUUGCGAUGAAUCUAGACCCUCCACCACCGUGUCCAUCAUGGUUAAGCCUGCAGAUCCAGAGAACAGAAUCAACCUGACAGGCUUGCCUGAUGAUGAAAGUGACCUGAAGAGCAGUAAGCUUGAGGACAGUGACACUGCUAAAGACACUGAGAACAACAAGGACAAUGAUG
Acanthochromis polyacanthus (spiny chromis) is the source of this 2424-nucleotide long non-coding RNA. RefSeq lists it as uncharacterized. The transcript has 10 exons. The record is from RefSeq and is a predicted model, not a curated record. Lineage: Eukaryota; Metazoa; Chordata; Actinopteri; Pomacentridae.